UAGGGAAUCUUCGGCAAUGGACGAAAGUCUGAUGGAGCAACGCCGCGUGAGUGAAGAAGGGUUUCGGCUCGUAAAACUCUGUUGUUAAAGAAGAACAUAUCUGAGAGUAACUGUUCAAUGUGUGACGGUAUCUUACCAGAAAGGAACGGCUAAAUACGUGCCAA
This 164-nucleotide ribosomal RNA is filed under the name uncultured bacterium. RNAcentral describes it as "partial 16S ribosomal RNA". It matches the Rfam family "Bacterial small subunit ribosomal RNA", at positions 355 to 511 of the family's 1533-position model. The record is from RNAcentral.